CCUACGGGAGGCAGCAGUGAGGAAUAUUGGUCAAUGGGCUUACGCCUGAACCAGCCAAGUCGCGUGAGGGAAGACUGCCCUCUGGGUUGUAAACCUCUUUUGUCAGGGAGCAACGCCGGCUACGUGUAGCCGGACUGAGAGUACCUGAAGAAAAAGCAUCGGCUAACUCCGUGCCAGCAGCCGCGGUAAUACGGAGGAUGCGAGCGUUAUCCGGAUUGAUUGGGUUUAAAGGGUGCGUAGGCGGAAUGCCAAGUCAGCGGUAAAAUCGCGGGGCUCAACCUCGCUCCGCCGUUGAAACUGGCGUUCUUGAGUGGGCGAGAGGUAUGCGGAAUGCGUGGUGUAGCGGUGAAAUGCAUAGAGAUCACGCAGAAUUCCGAUGGCGAAGGCAGCAUACCGGCGCCCGACUGACGCUGAAGCACGAAAGCGUGGGGAUCGAACAGGAUUAGAUACCCGGGUAGUC
This 460-nucleotide ribosomal RNA is filed under the name uncultured bacterium. RNAcentral describes it as "partial 16S ribosomal RNA". It matches the Rfam family "Bacterial small subunit ribosomal RNA", at positions 338 to 795 of the family's 1533-position model. The record is from RNAcentral.